Long non-coding RNA from Carassius auratus (goldfish), 917 nucleotides. RefSeq lists it as uncharacterized. The record is from RefSeq and is a predicted model, not a curated record. The transcript has 3 exons. NCBI's taxonomy places the organism in Eukaryota, Metazoa, Chordata, Actinopteri, Cypriniformes, Cyprinidae.
ACAGUACAGCAGCAUAUUAUAACUGACUAUUGUUUUUCAGUAGGCUAUAUCAAUCUGUUUUUCACAAAUUAAAAUGUGCCAAGUCUUAUACACACACACACACGCACACACACAGUAUACAGCAGUAUAUUUAAACUGACUACUGACUUCUGUUUCUCACUAAUUAAUAUGUGCCACAUCUGUUCACAUGGAAAAGAAAUGUUUCUCUUUAAAUGCUGCACUUGAUGCCAUUAAAAAAGGUUUUAUGUCUGUAUGUAUUUUUAUUUUUAUUUUUUUAUGGUGAUUUGAAUGUGUUGCUAGAGCCUCUUAGAAAGAGAACCACUGCCUCCUGUGGAGUUAGUGUGUGUGUUUUCCUUUUCUUUCUGCCUGUUUGUGUGUAUGUUGCGUUCAGAACUGUGGAUUUGUUUCUAGGUUUGGCAGAUGAGAUGGCUACAGAAGGAAAGCACUUGUGGUGUGAGGUGGUGAAGGCCGAGGGUUGAGCGCUGAUGACCCACUCUUCUCUGAGGGUGGGAAAGCACAGUUCAGAAGGGCAAAGAUUUUCCCUGUGAAAACAUUAUCAGCCAUCUCGCCUGUUCCGUUGACUCGCGGGGAGCAGCAGUGGUCAAAGGUGUGGUUAACGGCUUAGCUCGUCAUCCCAAGCGCUUGGUCACACACUCCUCAAUGUGGCAUUGCCUGAAGGGCACUGAUAACACGCAUUCUGCACUUCUAUUGGUUGAUGUCCAGAAAACCAGCAAUCUCACACGGAAGAAUCUGUACAUUAGAGGAAAGACUGUAGCUGGCAGUAGACAUGGCUUCACAGCACAGAUGAGAUGAGGUGGGAUGUGGAGCUGGAUCUAGCACAGGAUCUAGUGAACCUCACAUUGGGUAUCCUGCACAGUAACAGUCUAUGUGUGGAGUGACAGAGAUUAUCAUUUAAA